AGAUUCCCCAGGCGUGCCUCUGGUGUGGGACUUGCUGACUGCUUGAUGCGAGCAUCUGCCCCAGGGACUGGCGUUCCUUCAGGCUGUUCAUCAAAUGUUGAAGGAAGGUUAAAAGUUGCAAGUUCUGAAGAAUGAAGGUACUAGACAUUAGACCUGAAAGUAACUUCGACAAAAUCUGGAAGCGAACUCUGGGCCCCCAUUUCUCCUCAUUGUGCUAGAUGGUCUUGGUGUUGCCUUCCCGCUGAAACAGUCCAAGAGCA
Molecule: long non-coding RNA, 260 nt
Organism: Balaenoptera musculus (blue whale)
Lineage: Eukaryota; Metazoa; Chordata; Mammalia; Artiodactyla; Balaenopteridae
Exons: 3
Source: RefSeq, a predicted model, not a curated record